This 253-nucleotide ribosomal RNA is filed under the name uncultured bacterium. Its description in RNAcentral is "partial 16S ribosomal RNA". It matches the Rfam family "Bacterial small subunit ribosomal RNA", at positions 524 to 776 of the family's 1533-position model. The record is from RNAcentral.
GACGGGGGGAGCAAGCGUUGUUCGGAUUUACUGGGCGUAAAGGGCGUCUAGGCGGGUUCGUAAGUCAUGUGUGAAACCCCCCGGCUCAACCGGGGAUCUGCACGUGAUACUGCGGAUCUUGAGUAUGGAAGAGGAAAGCGGAAUUCCAGGUGUAGCGGUGAAAUGCGUAGAUAUCUGGAAGAACACCGGUGGCGAAGGCGGCUUUCUGGUCCAUUACUGACGCUGAAGCGCGAAAGUGUGGGGAGCAAACAGG